Molecule: ribosomal RNA, 1323 nt
Filed under: metagenome
Description: bacterial LSU rRNA
Rfam family: Bacterial large subunit ribosomal RNA
Source: RNAcentral
UUAGUUUAUAGAUGUCCGUACCGGAAACCGACACAGGUGGGUGAGGCGAGCAGCCUCAGGUGAACGAGUGAAACGUGGUCAAGGAACUCGGCAUAAUGAUCCCGUAACUUCGGAAGAAGGGAUGCCAGAGAGGGUGUAGGGUACACCGAAGCUCUCCCUGGUCGCAGCGAAUCGGCCCAAGCGACUGUUUAGCAAAAACACAGGUGUGUGCCAAGCCGCACAAGGCGCCGUAUACACACUGACGCCUGCCCGGUGCCGGAAGGUUAAGGGGAGAGGUUAGCCGCAAGGCGAAGCUUUGAGCCGAAGCCCCGGUAAACGGCGGCCGUAACAAUAACGGUCCUAAGGUAGCGAAAUUCCUUGUCGGGUAAGUUCCGACCUGCACGAAUGGCGUAACGACUUGGGCACUGUCUCGACCACGUGCUCGGCGAAAUGGCAGUCUCGGUGAGGAUUCCGAGUCCCCGCGACAGGACAAAAAGACCCCAUGCACCUUUACUGUAGCUUGUCAUUGGUCGUUGCACAUCGCUGUGUAGCAUAGGUGGGAGGCGUUGAUCCGUGGGCGCUAGCUUACGGGGAGCCAUCAGUGAAAUACCACCCUGCGUCGUGCGACGCCCUCACCACGGCGGGAACACCCCGUCUGGGACCGUGGCAGGUGGGCAGUUUGACUGGGGCGGUCGCCUCCGAAACAGUAACGGAGGCGCGCGCAAGGUUGGCUCAGCGCGGACGGUACUCGCGCUUCUAGAGUGUAACGGCAGAAGCCAGCCUGACGGUGAGAUCGACGGAUCGAGCCGCCACGAAAGUGGGCCGUAGUGAUCCGGUAGCCCGGGGUGGAGCGGCUAUCGCGCAACGGAUAAAAGGUACGCUGGGGAUAACAGGCUUAUCGCGCCCGAGAGUUCACAUCGACGGCGCGGUUUGGCACCUCGAUGUCGGCUUAUCACAUCCUGGGGCUGGAGAAGGUCCCAAGGGUCCGGCUGUUCGCCGGUUAAAGUGGUACAUGAGCUGGGUUCAGAACGUCGUGAGACAGUUCGGUCUGUAUCCGUCGUGGGCGUUGGAGAGUUGAGGGGAGCGGACUCUAGUACGAGAGGACCGAGUCGGACGACCCGCUCGUGUCCCGGUUGUCCUGCCAAGGGCACCGCCGGGUAGCGAUGGUCGGCUUUGAUAACCGCUGAAAGCAUCUAAGUGGGAAGCACGCCCCAAGAUGAGCUCUCCCGAGGCCUUGAGCCUCUUGAAGGGCCGGGGAAGACCACCCCGUCGAUAGGCCGCCCGUGGACGUCCCGCAAGGGAUUCCAAGCGCAGCGGUCCUAAUCGCCCGUAUGGCUUGACUAC